CUUUGAAGUGCGUUAAAUAUACGGUUAAAUACUUGCAGUUCUUCGUACUGUUUUAUCUAUGGUCUGCGUCGUCUACCAACCGUGACUGGACAGACUGCGCCAGAGUUACAGAUGGGAAUGUUGCAGCGUUAAGCCAAGCGCCAGCAUGCCAGUCGGAGAUGAGAGAGCAGAAACGCUAUGAAGAAGGCGUCAGCCAGUUGCAUGCUGAUCGACCCAUCUCCAGGGUGACAAUGCGUAGUAGCGGCCUUCAUGCCAAGAGGAUAUAAGCAGCACACCCGACUGGCCACAGCCAGUUCAACACUUGCAUGAAGA
Long non-coding RNA from Schistocerca gregaria, 312 nucleotides. RefSeq lists it as uncharacterized. Lineage: Eukaryota; Metazoa; Arthropoda; Insecta; Orthoptera; Acrididae. The transcript is spliced from 3 exons. The record is from RefSeq and is a predicted model, not a curated record.